Molecule: transfer RNA, 84 nt
Filed under: Lachnospiraceae bacterium
Lineage: Bacteria; Bacillati; Bacillota; Clostridia; Lachnospirales; Lachnospiraceae
Also listed under: 1 other name
Description: tRNA-Leu
Rfam family: tRNA
About the family: Transfer RNA (tRNA) molecules are approximately 80 nucleotides in length. Their secondary structure includes four short double-helical elements and three loops (D, anti-codon, and T loops). Further hydrogen bonds mediate the characteristic L-shaped molecular structure. tRNAs have two regions of fundamental functional importance: the anti-codon, which is responsible for specific mRNA codon recognition, and the 3' end, to which the tRNAs corresponding amino acid is attached (by aminoacyl-tRNA synthetases). tRNAs cope with the degeneracy of the genetic code in two manners: having more than one tRNA (with a specific anti-codon) for a particular amino acid; and 'wobble' base-pairing, i.e. permitting non-standard base-pairing at the 3rd anti-codon position.
Source: RNAcentral
GUCGGCAUGUCGGAAUUGGUAGACGAAGCAGACUCAAAAUCUGCCGCGGGCGACUGUGUGUGGGUUCGAGUCCCACUGCCGGCA